GAUGCAAUGAUGAGAUUUU
This 19-nucleotide small RNA is filed under the name Arabidopsis thaliana (thale cress). RNAcentral's name for it is "ATSL241190". The record is from RNAcentral. Lineage: Eukaryota; Viridiplantae; Streptophyta; Magnoliopsida; Brassicales; Brassicaceae.